This 1143-nucleotide long non-coding RNA is filed under the name Homo sapiens (human). RNAcentral's name for it is "HSALNT0387113". The record is from RNAcentral. Lineage: Eukaryota; Metazoa; Chordata; Mammalia; Primates; Hominidae.
GAGAGUUCACCGAGUUGAUAAAAUUAUUAAAACACAAAAUACACAUUUGCGUGAGGGGGAAAAAAUACCCGCUUGUCCGUCCUGUCCCUUCAGGCUGCGCAACGCUGGAGGGCGAUGGGAGCUCCACACAGGUGGGACGAGCCUAGCAGUGAUGCUGCCUGGAGUUAAAGGAGGCCAGGAGCACCAGAAGCUGGAGGAGGCCGGGGUGGAUUCUCGCCUGGAGGCUUCAGUGGGAGCACGAGCUCCCGACACUUCGGUUCCAUCUCUUGUUUAAAGGCACCCAGUUUCUCAUCAUUUGUUACAGCACCAUGGAAAACCCACACACAAGUGAAGCCCCGACCCACCUCCCAAGUGCCCAUCUGAGCACCCCUCGUGGACUCUGAGCAGGGGGUUGCCAUCACCAACUCCAAGUCUUGCAGCCCCUCUUCCCUUCAGUCUGGCUGCCACCUUCUUCAUUGCCCUGGAAAAAAAUAAUGAAGUUUCACCAUUUAAAGGGUUUCAGUGCAGCUUGCUAUGGGAACACUGGAGAGUAACACAAAUGGCCAAUUGUCCUAAUAGCCACCAUGGAUUGGAUGGAUGCUAACAACAGGCUCACAGUUCUCCUUCUGUUGCCUCCUUUUAUCCACAUGAGAAUCAAACAAGACUACUGAUUAAAUGAAGCCUUUGAUGAAGUGCAUGCAGUUUGUAGCUUGAUUCAUGGGAAUACUCAUCACAGACUGAAAGUGUAACCCAGGGUCUCUGGGUUUUUGGGAACGCGCUGUGUAAAAGUAUCUACUUGUAACUGUUACUCCCUGAGUUGUUGUUGUUUUAGAAAGUUCCAAGAAGAAGCUUAGCCUUGGAAAAAACAAAAACUGGUUGAAUCCAGAAGUGGAGAUGAAUUUUGGCCAACGCUCCUCACUGCCACACUAAAAACCCUGCUCAGAGAGGAGCUUAUUCACCAUGUUCUAUUCAUGCAAUGUGUGUGGAAACAUGAUCUACGACAGCAUGCGUGCUGCCUUCACCCUACCUCUACAUACAAUGACUCAUUUAACCUGCUGAAUAAAAGCCCUGUUUUCACCUUUGCUGGGGGAGGUGCCGCUUUGGGAACUAUUCGCAGUGUCCUCUUCACUUUUUGCAAGUAAUAGAAUACCCUUGUUAAAUCCU